RNAcentral lists this ribosomal RNA (470 nucleotides) under uncultured bacterium. RNAcentral describes it as "bacterial SSU rRNA". It matches the Rfam family "Bacterial small subunit ribosomal RNA", at positions 506 to 930 of the family's 1533-position model. The record is from RNAcentral.
GGCCAGCAGCCGCGGUAAUACAGAGGGUGCAAGCGUUAAUCGGAGUUACUGGGCGUAAAGGGCGCGUAGGCGGAUUUUUAAGUCGGGUGUGAAAUCCCUGGGCUCAACCUAGGAAUUGCACUCGAUACUGGAAGUCUAGAGUAUGGUAGAGGAAAGUGGAAUUCCCGGUGUAGUAGUAAAAUACGUAGAUAUCGGGAGGAACACCAGUGGCGAAGGCGGCUUUCUGGCCCAAUACUGACGCUGAGGCGCGAAAGCGUGGGGAGCAAACAGGAUUAGAUACCCUGGUAGUCCACGCUGUAAACGAUGAGAACUGACUGUUGUCUCGCGCCUAAAUUGUUUUUAUGUAUUUCAUUUUAUAUAAGAAUAAUUUAGGCGCGGGGCAGUAGUGAAGCUAACGCGUUAAGUUCUCCGCCUGGGGAGUACGGCCGCAAGGUUGAAACUCAAAAGAAUUGACGGGGGCCCGCACAAGU